GACUAGUCUUGAACUCUAACCUCCUGAGUAGCUGGGACUCCAAGGGCAUGUCAUCAUCAAACAAGCAUCAUCCAUGACUCCUGGUUAUAGUUCCAGUUAUGACAGCAGACUUUAGGAAAUCACAAGAUUUUCCAAAAGUCCUUAAUUUCCAUUGAGUAAUACUUGCAGUGUUAGAGAAACUGCUUCCACCCUGGACUACAGUAGUGGAAUAUCUAGACUACGGAAUGAAUGAAACCCUGCAGUGUAAAUGGAGGGAAUGACCUAAUCAGACUCUCCUGGUGAAGUAAAAGGG
This 292-nucleotide long non-coding RNA is filed under the name Rhinopithecus bieti (black snub-nosed monkey). RNAcentral's name for it is "lncRNA (ENSRBIG00000045213.1)". The record is from RNAcentral. Lineage: Eukaryota; Metazoa; Chordata; Mammalia; Primates; Cercopithecidae.